RNAcentral lists this ribosomal RNA (138 nucleotides) under uncultured eukaryote. RNAcentral describes it as "partial 18S ribosomal RNA". It matches the Rfam family "Eukaryotic small subunit ribosomal RNA", at positions 1299 to 1458 of the family's 1831-position model. The record is from RNAcentral.
UGGUGGAGCGAUUUGUCUGGUUAAUUCCGAUAACGAACGAGACUCUGGCCUAUUAAAUAGUUCGCCGAUUCCGAUCUGUCGGCGUUAACUUCUUAGAGGGACUAGUGGCUUUUAGCCACGCGAGAUUGAGCAAUAACA